UCCUCGAUCUGGCUCGUCGACAGCAGGUGCACGUGCAUGUCGAUGCCGCCCGCGGUGAGGAUCUUGCCCUCGCCGGCGAUGACAUCGGUGCCCGGCCCGAUCUCGAGCUCUGGGUGUACGCCGUCAGCGAUGUCCGGGUUGCCGGAGCGGCCAAGCGCGACAAUGCGUCCGCCGCGGAUGCCGACGUCGGCGCGCACGACACCCCAGUGGUCGAGCACGAUCGCGUUGGUGAUGACCGUGUCGAGGGCACCGUCGGCGCUGCUCCGUAGCCCCUGAGCCAUCGACUCGCGGA
Molecule: small RNA, 292 nt
Filed under: Luteipulveratus mongoliensis
Lineage: Bacteria; Bacillati; Actinomycetota; Actinomycetes; Micrococcales; Dermacoccaceae
Description: 5' ureB small RNA
Rfam family: 5' ureB small RNA
Source: Rfam by way of RNAcentral